CUGCGCCGUUUUAGAAUUGCCGUCUGCCUGUAUUUUCAGCAAUGACAGCGGAGGAAGCGAACAAAGCCGUUCAGUCCGUCCGGAGCCCUGCCAGCAUGCCUAGGUGGG
Poecilia latipinna (sailfin molly) is the source of this 108-nucleotide long non-coding RNA. RefSeq lists it as uncharacterized. The record is from RefSeq and is a predicted model, not a curated record. The transcript has 4 exons. Lineage: Eukaryota; Metazoa; Chordata; Actinopteri; Cyprinodontiformes; Poeciliidae.